CCCUUAGAUGUUCUGGGCUGCACGCGUGCUACAAUGGCGCUUGCAACAAGUCUUGCCAACCCGAUAGGGUGAGCGGAUCUUUGAAGAGGCGUCGUGAUCGGGACAGUUGAUUGCAAUUAUUCGACUCGAACGAGGAAUUCCUUGUAAUCGCGAUUCAUCAUAUCGCGCUGAAUACGUCCCUGCCCUUUGUACACACCGCCCGUCGCUCCUACCGAUUGAGCGAUCCGGUGAAUAAUUCGGACUGCAGCAGUGUUCAGUUCCUGAACGUUGCAGCGGAAAGUUUAGUGAACCUUAUCACUUAGAGGAAGGAGAAGUCGUAACA
This 322-nucleotide ribosomal RNA is filed under the name uncultured eukaryote. RNAcentral's name for it is "partial 18S ribosomal RNA". It matches the Rfam family "Eukaryotic small subunit ribosomal RNA", at positions 1470 to 1796 of the family's 1831-position model. The record is from RNAcentral.